This 239-nucleotide ribosomal RNA is filed under the name Candidatus Calditenuaceae archaeon. Its description in RNAcentral is "partial 16S ribosomal RNA". It matches the Rfam family "Archaeal small subunit ribosomal RNA", at positions 1239 to 1478 of the family's 1478-position model. Lineage: Archaea; Thermoproteati; Nitrososphaerota; Candidatus Caldarchaeales; Candidatus Calditenuaceae. The record is from RNAcentral.
CCGCCUCAGUAGGGAUCGAGGGUUGCAACUCGCCCUCGUGAACGCGGAAUCCCUAGUAACCGCGCGUUAACACCGCGCGGUGAAUACGUCCCCGCUCCUUGCACACACUGCCCAUCGCUCCACCCGAGCUGGGUUUGGGUGAGGGCCGCUCGAGUUGGGCGGUUCGAACCCGAACCCGGUGAGGGGGGAGAAGUUGUAACAAGGUAGCCGCACCGGAAGGUGUGGCUGGAUCACCUCCC